GAUGAACGCUGGCGGCGUGCCUAAUACAUGCAAGUCGAACGCAUUGAGAGAAGUGCUUGCACUUUUCAAUUUGAGUGGCGAACGGGUGAGUAACACGUGGGCAACCUACCUGAUAGCGGGGGAUAACGAGUGGAAACAUUCGCUAAUACCGCAUAACAAUAGAGAAGGCAUCUUCUUUAUUUAAAAGGCGCUUUCAAGCGUCACUAUCAGAUGGGCCCGCGGUGCAUUAGUUAGUUGGUGGGGUGAAGGCCUACCAAGACGAUGAUGCAUAGAGUAGUUGACAAGCUGAUGGGCCACAUUGGGACUGAGACACGGCACAAACUCCUACGGGAGGCUGCAGUAGGGAAUCUUCCACCAUGGACGAAAGUCUGAUGGAGCAACGCCGCGUGUGUGAUGAAGGCUUUCGGGUCGUAAAGCACUGUUGUAUGGGAAGAAAUGCUAGGCUAGGAAAUGAGCUUAGUUUGACGGUACCAUACCAGAAAGGGACGGCUAAAUACGUGCCAGCCGCCGCCGUAA
RNAcentral lists this ribosomal RNA (516 nucleotides) under uncultured bacterium. RNAcentral describes it as "partial 16S ribosomal RNA". It matches the Rfam family "Bacterial small subunit ribosomal RNA", at positions 28 to 523 of the family's 1533-position model. The record is from RNAcentral.